UACGUAGGGGGCAAGCGUUGUCCGGAAUCAUUGGGCGUAAAGAGCGUGUAGGCGGCCAGAAAAGUCCGCUGUGAAAACUCGAGGCUCAACUUCGAGCUGUCGGUGGAAACUUUCUGGCUAGAGUCCGGAAGAGGAGAAUAGAAUUCCUGGUGUAGCGGUGAAAUGCGCAGAUAUCAGGAAGAACACCCGUGGCGAAGGCGGUUCUCUGGGACGGUACUGACGCUGAGACGCGAAAGCGUGGGGAGCGAACAGG
This 253-nucleotide ribosomal RNA is filed under the name uncultured bacterium. RNAcentral's name for it is "partial 16S ribosomal RNA". It matches the Rfam family "Bacterial small subunit ribosomal RNA", at positions 524 to 776 of the family's 1533-position model. The record is from RNAcentral.